Homo sapiens (human) is the source of this 608-nucleotide long non-coding RNA. RefSeq lists it as uncharacterized. NCBI's taxonomy places the organism in Eukaryota, Metazoa, Chordata, Mammalia, Primates, Hominidae. The record is from RefSeq and is a predicted model, not a curated record. The transcript is spliced from 3 exons.
UAUGGGAAUCACUGGUUAAUCAGAAGCACUAUAGCCAAGAGUGCUUCUCUUGGAGAAGGAAACACAGAAACUCUGUUCCUUUCCAGUGCUGUGACUUGGUCAAGUGACUCACCCCUCUGUGCCUUUGUUUCCUCAUCUGGGUCUUGGUGAGGCUUAGAGUGAGGACUGUUGGAAAGCAUUAGGACAGAUGUAUAAGGAGCAUAUACACGCUUUUAUACAAAUCUUCAGUUAACAGUCGUGGAAAGGACUCAAGCUCUACUCCAUCUCCACCUCCUUGGGUUUGGGUAAAUUCUCAGCAGGAUUGUGCAUUAGGAGAGCUGGGAAGCAAUUUGGCAAUGAAGACUUUAAAUAUCUCAAGAAUACCAUGAAACAGGGCCAGUUGCAGGUUGAGUCCUGUGUCUGGGCCCUAAUUUCCUUGUGACUGGGCUCCUGGUGAUCAUGCAGUUGUCUUCUGGAUGAAAGGAGCUGUCUGCGGAGAGAUCUCAGUGGCCACCUGAAGAUAAAGGGAAGAGAGUCUUCAGGGCCCCAACCCAACUUCAACCAGAGUACCUUUUCUUUCAUUAAUUUGAUGGGCUUUUUCUUAAUUAAAAAAAACUUUUAAUUGUUGU